This 76-nucleotide transfer RNA is filed under the name Paracoccaceae bacterium. RNAcentral describes it as "Rhodobacteraceae bacterium tRNA-Lys". It matches the Rfam family "tRNA". From Rfam's summary of the family: Transfer RNA (tRNA) molecules are approximately 80 nucleotides in length. Their secondary structure includes four short double-helical elements and three loops (D, anti-codon, and T loops). The record is from RNAcentral. RNAcentral also lists the same sequence under 1 other name. Lineage: Bacteria; Pseudomonadati; Pseudomonadota; Alphaproteobacteria; Rhodobacterales; Paracoccaceae.
GGGCCGGUAGCUCAGUUGGUAGAGCAGCUGACUUUUAAUCAGCGGGUCAUGGGUUCGAAUCCCGUCCGGCUCACCA